UUUUUGGAGGAAAAUUUUGGGGAAUUUUUGGGGAAUUUUUGGGGGAAAUUUGGGGAAUUUUUGGGUCCUCCCAGCUCAUCCCAAAGGGAGUCACAGCUGGGAGGGGGAAAAAAAAUCCCAAAAUUAAAAUUUGGUACAGUCCAAAAUAGGGGGGGGAAACCUCAAAAAUUACUGGAAAAAUCUCAAAUUUUUGGGGA
This 197-nucleotide long non-coding RNA is filed under the name Zonotrichia albicollis (white-throated sparrow). Its description in RNAcentral is "lncRNA (ENSZALG00000000404.1)". Lineage: Eukaryota; Metazoa; Chordata; Aves; Passeriformes; Passerellidae. The record is from RNAcentral.